Long non-coding RNA from Eleginops maclovinus (Patagonian blennie), 3621 nucleotides. RefSeq lists it as uncharacterized. The record is from RefSeq and is a predicted model, not a curated record. The transcript has 2 exons. NCBI's taxonomy places the organism in Eukaryota, Metazoa, Chordata, Actinopteri, Perciformes, Eleginopidae.
CUACAGCACGGUCACAUGACUUCACGUCUCCACCGCUAAGCUAAAGGCGGCUAAUGUUGGGCUAUAAAGGAACUACAGCACGGUCACAUGACUUCACGUCACCACCGCUAAGCUAAAGGCGGCUAAUGUUGGGCGUGAUGACGUUAAGUUGUCAGCAGCCUCCGUUUCUGAAUCCUCCAGUGGGAUAUUCACUGACGUGUUUUAUGUUGUAGAACAAGACGUUAAACUCUCUUCAGCUCGUGUUAACCACAGACCUUAUUUCAGGCUAACAACCAAAAACAACUCCAGAGAACCAUUGACCUCCAGACCAGGGGACAGGAAGGGAAGAAAUGCUGAGGAAUGUCAGGGUUUUAGGAGGCUUGGACUUGGGUCCAAAGGGGUCGCCGGUUCACGUCCGGAUUGGACCCAAAAAAAUGGAGUGAGCUGGUAGCUGGAGAGGUGCCAGUUCUCCUCCUGAGCCACUGCCGAGGUGCCCUUGAGUAAGGCACCUGGCAGCCUCCCUGCUCUGCCAUCUCUCCUGCAUGUGUUGUUUGUGCAUGGAUAUCUUCCCUGUGUGUAAUGUGUGUGUGAACACUACAGAGUGGGGAACGGAAUUUCCCUGUAAGGGAUCAAUAAAGUAUUUCUUCUUCUUCUUCUUCAUUCCUGCAGAUCUCUACUGGAAGCUCGGUGGUUUCCCAGGUUUGUUAUUUAGGAGACGAUGACACGGAUUCGUACCCAGACAGGUGGCCUGGAUAGAGACGUGGGGCGAGUGGUUCCCGGUGAAGAAGGACGUGUCCACAUCGAAGCCGUGGAUCUGCCCCGGCACCCCGAGAGCAAUGAUGCACCAGUCCUGACCUCCACAAAAAGUGAGAGAGCGGUACGAUGCGGCGGACGCCUCAGACACUCAGUUGGGAUCGGAUCCCUUUCACCUGUUGAAGUUAUUGUGUUGCUUCUUACCUGGUGUUCUCUUUCUCCUCGUCUCCCAUCCAUCCAUCCACUUCCCAAACUCGGUGAAGGCCGAGGCGAUGAACACCGGCGGCUCUCUCUGGGCGAACAGUACAUCUUAAAGUGAAUACACACACCCGCUGGUAUGCUCAGUUUAAUCCGUUAGGUGAUUAGACUUAAUCCCUACUGGUUCUCCCAGCUUUCCCUUAAAGGAGCCUUUUUAGUUUCACAUUUUACAGAUAUUUCACAUUAUUUUAAAUGGAUAACAACACGAACUAAUGGUAAACUGUGCAGUACACAAGACGUCCGUGUCAACGAGUGAUUUGAGCAGAUUAUGUGAGGUGAAUAUUGCCUCAGAGGUCAGUUGCAAUAUUCUGAUCAAAUAUAGGAAGGACAGGAGGUAAACCACCAGACGUUUCCUUUAAUCGGUUGUCAGUGUGAAAGUGAGUUGUACCUUCAGCAGGUUUGAGGCUGGAGCGAACCAUUCGUCCGUAGCAAAAAUAAUCUGAAAGAACAAAACGCUCAUUUUAAUACAGACCAGAAAAUUACAACAUGUGCAACACUGCAAACCAGAGCAAAGCUGAAGCUGUGUUCAUAAAUAUUAGGGAGGAUUCACUCUCAUGUAUGAGUGGUAACGUACGGAGGCCGACAGGUGCAAACGGCCCAGAACUCUUCCAUCUGGAGCUGCAGCUUCAGGAAGGAUGCAGAUAUAGAAACUGAAAUCAGAACUCAUGCAGAAACAUCUGCAGCAGCUCUUCAACACAUGCAGAAACAUCUGCAGCAGCUCUUCAACACAUGCAGCAACAUCUGCAGCAGCUCUUCAACACAUGCAGAAACAUCUGCAGCAGCUCUUCAACACAUGCAGAAACAUCUGCAGCAGCUCUUCAACACAUGCAGAAACAUCUGCAGCAGCUCUUCAACACAUGCAGCAACAUCUGCAGCAGCUCUUCAACACAUGCAGAAACAUCUGCAGCAGCUCUUCAACACAUGCAGAAACAUCUGCAGCAUCUAGAGAACAUUCAGCAGAGGAAACAUGAGCAGUUUACUAAAAGCUGCAGAAACCAAACGCUGCAAGAAGCUCCAACACAACGGAGACCAGGGGACACUAAAGAGAGACGCACACAGCUGGAGACCAGGGGACACUAAAGAGAGACGCACACAGCUGGAGACCAGGGGACACUAAAGAGAGACGCACACAGCUGGAGACCAGGGGACACUAAAGGGAGACGCACACAGCUGGAGACCAGGGGACACUAAAGAGAGACGCACACAGCUGGAGACCAGGGGACACUAAAGAGAGACGCACACAGCUGGAGACCAGGGGACACUAAAGAGAGACGCACACAGCUGGAGACCAGGGGACACUAAAGAGAGACGCACACAGCUGGAGACCAGGGGACACUAAAGAGAGAUGCACACAGCUGGAGACCAGGGGACACUAAAGAGAGACGCACACAGCUGGAGACCAGGGGACACUAAAGAGAGACGCACACAGCUGGAGACCAGGGGACACUAAAGAGAGAUGCACACAGCUGGAGACCAGGGGACACUAAAGAGAGACGCACACAGCUGGAGACCAGGGGACACUAAAGAGAGACGCACACAGCUGGAGACCAGGGGACACUAAAGAGAGACGCACACAGCCGGAGACCAGGGGACACUAAAGAGAGACGCACACAGCCGGAGACCAGGGGACACUAAAGAGAGACGCACACAGCCGGAGACCAGGGGACACUAAAGAGAGACGCACACAGCUGGAGACCAGGGGACACUAAAGAGAGACGCACACAGCUGGAGACCAGGGGACACUAAAGAGAGACGCACACAGCUGGAGACCAGGUGACACUAAAGAGAGACGCACACAGCUGGAGACCAGGGGACACUAAAGAGAGACGCACACAGCUGGAGACCAGGGGACACUAAAGAGAGACGCACACAGCCGGAGACCAGGGGACACUAAAGAGAGACGCACACAGCUGGAGACCAGGGGACACUACAGAGAGACGCACACAGCUGGAGACCAGGGGACACUACAGAGAGACGCACACAGCUGGAGACCAGGGGACACUAAAGAGAGACGCACACAGCCGGAGACCAGGGGACACUAAAGAGAGACGCACACAGCUGGAGACCAGGGGACACUAAAGAGAGACGCACACAGCUGGAGACCAGGGGACACUACAGAGAGACGCACACAGCUGGAGACCAGGGGACACUGAAGAGAGACCGCUGGGUGACGUUCAGGGUCAUAAAGCUGGACUGUGUCUCUGUGCUUCAGCCGGAGAUGUUUCUUUAUGGGUUCUGAUUUGGGUUUCUAUAUCUGCAUCCUCUCUGAAGUGUUGUAACGCGUUAGCCCCUGUGGGCCACCGCAGUAUUUCCAAAGCACAUUGGUGGUCCCACAAGGACACAACCAUACUUACAAUAGUAUGUCAUUAGAAACCAUAGAAAGGAAGUGAGUGAAAUGUGUCAGAUCCUCCUCUCUGGACUGAUUGAAUGACUUCAAUGCGAACUUAUAUCUGGGGUUAGCAGCUUCAAGUUUUGCCAGUUCUGUCAAACCCUCUGACAAGCUGCUUCUCUCAGUAUCUGCACAUACCAAUACUACACAUACUUUAUUAUUCGGAGUACUUUUCCAUAGUAUACUGCACGUAGUUUCAAGUAUAUCCAGAUUUCAUGUAAAUAAAAUGAGCUUAAAGUCGA